Molecule: long non-coding RNA, 2730 nt
Filed under: Sus scrofa (pig)
Lineage: Eukaryota; Metazoa; Chordata; Mammalia; Artiodactyla; Suidae
Description: lncRNA (ENSSSCG00050030845.1)
Source: RNAcentral
GUUCCUUGUGUUUAUCAUCACUUUUACAAAUAGUUUUCCUUCCCUUUUAGAUCUAUAUACUGGCUUAUUUCGGUUAUUGCUUUACAAUUGUGAUUUCCUCCAUCCUAUAUCUUAUUUCUUUUUUAUUUAGAGGACCCCUUUCAGUAUUUGUUUUAGAAUGGGUUUAGUAUUUCUGUACUCUUUUAGUUUUUGUUAGAGAAAUUCUUUAUUUCUCCUUCUAUUUUAAAUGAUGUUAUUGUUGGGUAGAGUAUUCUAGGCUUCAGAUUUUUCCCUCAUAGAACUUUGAAUGUAUCUUUCCUCUCCCUUCUGGCCCAUAGUGUUUCUGUAGGGAAAUCAGCUGAUAGCCUUAAGGGGGUUCUCUUAUAAUUAACUCUUUGCUUUUCUCUUUCUGCCUUUAGAAUCCUCUCUUUAACUCUUGCCAUUUUAUUAUAAUAUGUCUUGGAUUGGGCCAGUUUGGGUUGAACUUGUUUGGGGCCCUCUGUGCUUCCUAUAUCUUGAUAUCUGUUUCAGCCAUAAUUGGAAAGUUUUCAGCCAUAAUUUAUUCAAAUAUAUGUUCAAUCCCCUUUUUUCUUUUCUGGAAUCCCUAUUAUGCUUAGAUUGUCCUGCUUCUUAUUAUCCCAUAGAUCUCUUAUGUUGCUUUUGUGUUUUUUUCUAGUGUUUUCUGUCUGCUAUCCUGAUUGGAUGAUUUCCAUUAUUAUGUCUCCACUUAUUUGUUCUUCUGCCUUAUUCAUUCUGCUCUUCAAUGCCUUUAACUCAGCUUGCAUCUCUGCAAAUGAAUUUUCUACUUUUUCUUGGCUCCUCAUACGUUCUAGUUCCUUUCUAAAGUAAUCUGUAUUAUAGUUCAUAUCUGCUCUUAAUUCCUUCAUUUUGCUCUUAAUUUCUUCACUAUUUUCACUGUUUUCUUUUUGAGAUCAGUGUCUGGAAGACUACAGAGUUCUGUUUCAUUUUUUGCUCCUUCAGAUAUGAGUUCUGUUCUUUCAGCUGGGAAUGGUUCCUGAGCUUCUUCAUUUUGCUUAUAUUUUUCUUAUUCUGUGAGUUUAGGAAAACUACUGUAGUCUUUGGAGGCUACUUAUAUGCAAGAGUGCCCCCGGGUAUUUUGUGAGGGCUUACUAUUUAUAUUUAGGGUGCUGUACCUGUUUCCAGGGAUAUAGAGGCAAUGGGCAGGGCAAUAGCCAUUGCCUGGUUGCUGGGCAUUCACAGUGGCAAAGGACCUGUGAGAAGGUGGCACAGGCUGCACCUAGUUGCAGGGCCCUGAGAAGUGACAGUGAUCUUCAGGCAGGUAUGGGCAGUGCCUGGAGAGUUUAGCAAUGGCAGCAUUGGAGUGGGUGCAUUCUCAGAGGAAUAAGAGCAACAACGGGUGGUGCUCAGUUGCAGUGCCCUCCUCUUUGCCAGCCUCUGAGAUGACUGGGGCCGCAGGUGGUCCCUGCUCAUGGAUCUCUAGUGGGGGUGGACCACCCCCAUCUCUGGUGUCUGAGAUGACUGCGCUGGUUUUCCCCUGAUGCUUGUAGACCACACAAAAGAUGCUCAUCACUUUUAGACCCCCCACUGACCUUAACCUGAACAAGAGGUGCCCAGCCCUCCAUAGCCCUCACAAAAGGUGCCUCACCACCCAUAGCCUGUGCCAGAGGUGCCCUGCCCUCUGAGAGUCCACGUGUGUACAAGGAAAGAUAGUCCUAUGGCAGUCCACCCCACCUCCUCUUGCCCUCCCCAACAGUGGUGACUUGCUUCUCUGCAGGCCCAGACCUCCUCCCUGGUUCCCUUGGCUGUGUCACACUGCUCCCUAGCCCCUCAGGCUGUCUCCACACAGCCAACCCUAGUCCUUUCUCCAGAACUGACCUCUGGAGCCUGAGUCUCAGCGCCCAGCCCCCACUCAGCAUCUCAGACUGUGGUGCAGAUGGUCUGUACGGCUCUCACUCUGCCCUGCCUUCUUUAGUCCAGCUGCAGUGCUUUUCUCCAUGACUUUGAGGUCCCUCCCAUCUCAGCUCAUCUCCUCAUUGGUUAGGUGGCUUCCCUAGGGUGUGGGUUUUCUUCCUCUUUAACAGCUCUCUCUCAGGAGUGCUAGUCCUAUCCUUAUUCCAUUCUCUCUUGUUUCCCCACUUUUGUUCUACCCAGUUAUGUGGAGGGGUUCUUGCCCUUUUUGGAGAUUUAAAGUCUUCCGCCAGCAUUCAGUAGAUGUGUUCUGUUUGAAUUGUUCUACAUGUAAAUGGGGUUUUUUGAUGUGAUUGUGCAAGAAGGUCAGUGCCACAUCUUACUCCUGCCAUCUUGAUCCUUCUUCCUCCUUGUUAAAACCUUUGAUUCUCUCUUCAUUCUUGUGACCCGCUUAUCCACAGAUCACAUUUCUAUAGGCCCUAUAAUUGCUUUGCCGCACAAAGUAAACACCAGGAUACUUCAUACAUACACAUCAGCAUUUCAGUGCUUGUCAGAAUUCAUAAAAUAUAGGGCUACAACCUAUAGUUGGAUAUUAAGAUGCAAAUCUGUUGUGCUCAUUUGAUGUAUGAAAAUGAGAAACCCUCGUACAGAGGAAGGAUUUCCCAGACUCUCUGUCACCUUGUUUUUAUCUCCAGGGUUUUUCAGUUUUGUUUUUGGCCAUAUCUUCAGCACAUGGAAGUUCCCAGACCAGAGUUCAAAGUGAGCUGCAGCUGCAGCCUACACCGUAUCUGCAGCAAUGCAAGAUCUUUAACCCAUUGUACUGAGCCAGGGAUUAAGCUUGCACUGCUACAGAAACAAUGC